UCAUUAAACGCACGCCCGAUCUCGGAAUUAAUUAAUCCGGCAACCUUCCUUCGAGCCCUGGCUUCCCUGAGCUCGUCCGCGCUCGGACAAAACACAGGUUGUUACAAGACUCAUACCAAAACGUUGGAAUACAGAAGAAGGAAAACGACAUAUAAAAACCGUACCCGUCAAACUUUGUCGAUCGGAAGCGAAUCAGCAUACCAAGCACCCCGAUGGUCUUUUUUGUCAUGCCAUUCACGUUUUAGAGACAGUCGCAUCAGUAUUGAGUCCUGACCAAGUGGUUUUUUUAUUAUAGGAUGAUAAAUCAAAAGUUUCUAUCGGUUUUACUGCAGCAAAGAGACAAGCUCCUAUGUUGAUGCACAUGCAAUAUCGAGUCAGUCUCCCCGAUCACGAUUGGGUGAUAGCUGAGCGUCAUAAGUUAAUUCUAUCCGUAUACGCGGGAAUUAUAAUUCAGCCAGAUGGCAAUGGACGGCCAGAAUCCGUCUUAUAUUUGGGACCGACGUAUAUAGCUAUCCGGAGCGGAAAACAUUUUUUGUUGACAACUGAAACGCAUGCAGUUGAUCUACGACUUUUAGAACUAGAAAGCUUCUAAUCGCUCGUAAAAUCUAGAGAAGUACAAUGAAACCAGUCAUGAUAAUCACUGUAGAUGGAGGUCCAGAUGAAAAUCAAAGAUAUACGCAAGUAAUUGCUAAUGCAAUUAAACAUUUUAAGGAAUUUAAUUUGGAUGCACUAUAUAUUGCCACAAAUUCACUUGGUCAAAGUGCAUACAACAGAGUAGAGAGGCGAAUGGCUCCACUCAGCAAUCAACUCACUGGAGUCAUCCUUCCAUAUGAUCAUUUUGGGACUCAUUUUGAUUCAAGAAAUAGAACAAUGGAUAAAGAUUUAGAAUUAAAGAAUUUCGCUUACACAGGGGAAAUACUUGCAGAAAUAUGGAGUUCCUCAUAAUCGAUUCUCAUCCAAUACAUGCAGAAUAUGUCCCUCCACAGAGCAUGAAACACCGACUAUCCCUGAUGCCGUCUGGUACUCUUUCCAUGUUCGAGAAUUGCAAUACUGUCUGCAAAUAGUGAAAUGUAAGAAUGUUUAAUGUCGUGGCACUAGGCGUAGCAGUCUGUCGAUGCUCUUAAAAUCAGGAUUUUUGCCUCCUCCAGCACCAAUAACGCAAUCAUUAUUAGGACUUCGUGUGCCACUUUUCGAAGAAAAUGUUAAUAAAUUUGCUCCACUCUUGCUUCGUAUUGCUCUGAAUGUGCAAUCAGAUCAGAAAAAUUUUAAACAAAUUCUAUACGACAUGUUUUGUCUAUCUGUUUGAUCACCUUUGUAACAGAAUUUGUAAGAAAUGCGAGUUGUAUCAUGCUUUUGUUAAGUCAGCUAAUAAUCACAGUAAAGAAAUUUAUAAAAAGGAAAAAAAAACAACCAAAAAGCCGAAAAAAUAAUAGCUGAUCGAAAACGAGAGCUAUUAUGUGUUAUGAAGGUGUUACGUCCCGACCGAGCGCGGUCGCCGUUGAGCAGAAUACGCGCGUUUCGGCGAAACUGGCUGUUUCAAAGCCUAAGCUUCAGGGGCUCCACAGCCCAGGAGCGGAUCGCGUGGCCGGAUUUACCGGCGGACGGGCCCGAUUUUCCGCGGCCAAUGGCCUAGUGAGGGGAGUUUUGUAACCUCAGAGGGUGUGCCGCGAGAGCGCGAGUAUGAUGGCGUAGGAAUCGUUCCAGGGAUCUCCUUCUCGGAUUAAAUAAGUUAUGAAUUCUUCCAACUCGUGGGGGCAACGGUCACAAUCGAGAGGGUGGCGGCGAGCAGCUACGAGCACGCGGCAAGAAUCGCACUUUUGCGGAUUGUAUGGAUGGCCAAGAUAGAUAUAGUGUGUAAUUACCCCGAGAUAAUUUCCUUUCUUAGUGCUCGAGUGUUUGCUUUUACACUCGAGGCAUAAUACCGUUGAUUCGUUGUCGUUGCAAAAAUACAGAGAGGUUACGCACUGGGCACUGCGUAACCAUAUACCGAACGAGCGAUUCGCUUCGCGUUGGGCACGGACCGAGAAAAUGGCAAUGCGCUGCGGUGGGCACAUACUCUAAUUUACCGUGUACUUAUUAUUCUUCAGGGCAUAAACAUGUGCACGUCUCGUCGAUCUCUAUUAUGGUGGGCUCGUUGUUAAGGUAUGGCUUGUUUUCUGAGUCGUACAAAUGACGCGCGAGGUCGUUCAGUGCUUCGUAGCACUCGACUCAGUCAACCGCGGUCUCCGGAAAUGAGAUUAAACGAUUGCAGGACGAGCAGCGUAUGACUUCUUCGUCCCCGCCGACAAUUAAAUAGUGACGCGUGACUGAGUUGUAAAAUACGCGGUCGCGAAGGGGGAGGUUAUUUUGGCACUUGUCGCAAAUGAUAGUGUGAUUAAUUUGGUGCUGAUGGAAGGUGGCCAGGCUACACAACGCGGAGUUAAGCCAAUUGAAGUACGGGGCUUGGGUUGAAAAAUACGUGUUAUGUGACAUGCCUCAUUGGACGUUGCGACUUAGCUUUUAGAAUGACGGUUGCUGUUGAGACUGUUGCCUCUGCCUUGGUGGCCGCUCUGGUCAGGUGAUGAUCGUCCUCGUCCUUCUCGGCUGUCCUUUUGAACUUUAAUGAAUCUGCUCAAUUUAUUGAGACUAAAAAAAGCCAGAUUUAUGUUGAAUUUGUUCGUGAAAUAUUUGAACUUGUCAGAAAUUGUAGGAACAUAUGGCAAUAAGAACCAUGGAGAUUUUUUAUUUUUGGUGUCGGUAUCAUUGUUAGUGUCUGUAUGUUUGCUUAGAUUAAUAAGAUGUUUAAUGCGGCUAUUGAUUGUCUCAAAAAUAAAUCCAGCAGGAUAGUCAUUCAUAAAAAGGGUAUUUACGAUAAGCUCAAAAUUCUUUCUGUGGAAUUUAGGAUCUGACAAUAAAAAUGCUCUGUCAACCAUGCCCAAAAUUGUUCCUCUUUUCUGUGAUAAAGGGUGGGCUGAUAAAAAAUUCAGGUAUCUCCCUGAAAAUGUAUUUAUGAUACCAAUCAAAAAUUAAGGAAUCUUCGUAUUUUAUCAUAGUGAUGUCUAAAAAGUUUAUUUUAUCACCCCCUAUUUCCAAUGUAAAUUGCAUACGCGGGUGAAAGGAAUUGAACGUAUUUAAGGUGAGAUCAAUUAAAUUAUCUGGGACAGCCAUCACUAUGUCAUCUACAUAUCUAAAAUAAAGAGGUAAAUGUAUUCCAAUUUUGUUUAAAGCCCAUUGUCAAUUUCACCGACACGACAACGGGCAAUGCUUCCACGGCGGAUUUGGCAAACCGUUGGUGACUCAUUUCAUUCCCGGUAACGGACUGAUGACGAUUAGAACAGCCACUUGUAAUUGCGUUGAAAAUGACGAUUUAAAUUAAUUUUUUCCUUUUGUAAUUCGCUGAAGAGUGCUCCAAAGAGAGCCGAAACGUUCGAUUUUUUUUUUUUAAUUCAUCAUGAAUAAAUAACUAUUUAAACACUGAUUGUGUCUUGCGCUCUUAUACCCGCGCUGACUCUUACUAGCCUGUUUUAGCCGUUUAAUUUGUGUGAAAUUUAAUUGUUUUAUAAUAAAUAUAAGCACUAAAAUCUAGCUGCAACCGAAGAAGGCUUUCUUACUACCAUUGUGUUGUUAAUACACUAUCGGUCCAAAACAUAUUUAUAAUUUUAAUUGUUUUAAUCCAACUUUUUUAGAUAUUAAAAGUUUAAUAAACAGAUGGUUCUGUAGCCAAAGCGUACAACUAACCAAAAUAAGUACACAAUUAGAAGAAAUUUAUAAUAUUUUGCAAAAAAGAAAAUAGGCAUCUUCUCCGAGAUCUGUAAUACUGGAAAUUUUACGGAAAAGUACCAAAUAGAUUGACCAUUUAAAAAUUUAGAAGAUUUCCAGAAUUUUGACAGGAAAUUGAAAACGGAUACAAAAUUUCAAGAAGACGUUAAGUUUAAUAUAUGGACAUUAGUCGAUUCAAAAUCUUUACUUACCCACACUGUAAGAAACAUUUUAAAACGUUACAUGUCAAGAAAUGUGAUACAAAAAUAUACUGCUGUGAAAGAAACGGCAACGAAACUCACUUUCCAGCAAACGAACUUUUUUUCCUGUAUUCAAGAUAUUAUAGUUGCGGAAUAUAGAAAUAACCCAAAAACUUCGCCAGUUACCGCCAAAAGUUUUUAUAAAAGUGUGGGCGCAGUCAUUAAUGGUGUAAAGGACUGGGAAGGUUAUCGUUCAAUCCAAACCAAGAAAGGAAAUGUUAUGUGAUAGAGUGUAGUAAAUAGAGUGUAGUAUUUUCAUUGCUCAUACCAAAGUGUUACUUUAUCGUUUUAUAUAUAUUUCAUCAAUAAAUAAAUAAUGUAAAUUAAAAAAUCUAAUAUCAAUCCAUAAACCUUCUUCCUUCCUUUACAGUACCUUAUCGAGACCCUAUAAGAAUUGCGUUACUAGGGCCUGAUCAGGAAACUGCUAUCAGGGCCAUAUAGAACACGACGUUACAUUUUUGAUAAGGCGCCAUGUCAGGCUGCCUCAACAAGACCUGAUCGGG
Molecule: long non-coding RNA, 4501 nt
Organism: Solenopsis invicta (red fire ant)
Lineage: Eukaryota; Metazoa; Arthropoda; Insecta; Hymenoptera; Formicidae
Exons: 3
Source: RefSeq, a predicted model, not a curated record